AACUCAUUGAAAUCUUGGCCCUUAGAGACUAUAAUUAGGAGAGAAAGAGCCCACAGUUGCUCCAAAUAGAAGAAAGGAGCAGGAGAGUGAGCUGAGGGCCAAGCCGACUGGGAAGUGUCAUUCAUGGAUGCUACCCCUCUCAGAGGCGCUUCUUUUCCUUCUCUCCCUGUCAUCUUGGCCAGUGGCAGUCCCUACUCCUCAUGAGCUGCCUCCAUCUGUGUAGCCCCUGCAUUGAGGCCUUGGGGUUCUUGGGGGUUAGGGCAGAACCUGACAUCCAGAGCUGGUGUGAGUGGGUGAGCCUGGGACUCACUCAGGUAGGAGUCUCUCAAGAGGCACUGCCCGCUGCAGUGCUGUAGAGCUGACUGCAGCCACAGUCCCUGACACAGGAAAGAGAACAUAGAGCUGAAGAGGAGCUUGCCCAGGGGAGUGUUCUCGCGGUGGUUAUGACUCACUAAGGAUGGUUGUGAGAUAUGAAAGGGCUGACAGCUGAAGCCAUCACCAACAGCACUGCUGGCAGCUGGGCAAGAAACCCUUCCGGAAAGGGGCAUCACAGCAUCCACCACGGUCUACCCUUUGUGCAGUUGGAUCCACUCUUCACAUACACUCUGGAAGCAGCUCCUUCUGCAGUCCAGUGGGCCUCUUUCUGGGGGGAAACCUAGAAGAUAAAGAUCUAGAGUAAGACUAGCCAGAGCCCCUGCUGCUGCAGUGGGUCUGAGAACCACAACCAAUACUCAUCAUCUCUCUUCCACCAUCCAUUCCAGCUUCCUCUCACCCUCAGCCUCGACGGCUUACCUGGUGGUGUGACCCAGACAUGCAUCCCUGAGAGGUUUGUGCCCCUGGUCACCAGGCCCUUCUCAGGCUGGGCUUGCUACACUCAUGCACUUACUGUCAAAAUGGUGCAAGGACCAAAAGGUGCUCCAGUGGAGCACCCGGGUGUCAAGCAUAGUCCGUCGCAUGGAGGCAACCCAAGUAGAUUUUCACAGAAAAAAGCAAGUGAAACCCAGGAAGCUAAUAUUAAACCAUUUCCUGACUCCACCCUCAGAUAAUAAGUCCAUUAAUUUGAUUUCCUUCCCUUUGUUCAAACGAGGCUUAUCAAAACAUUCUGAUUGUAAUUGUAUGCAUAUGCGUAAAAAGUAUAUGACUGUAUGUAUGUAUCUAUAUAAAUCAGAGGCUACAGAAAAAUAUAAGGGAUACCAUAUAAAUCACCCAGAUACCACCAUCCAGAGGGAAAUACUGUUAUCCUCUUGAUACCUUUCUUUGCAGUCUUUUUCUCUGUAUAUUUCUUUGAUUUUUCUAAAAUGAAAAACUACCCAUAUGUAUAUAUAAAUUAGUAUUCUGCCUCUUUUUUGUUAAUGUGACAGUAUAUUGUAAAUACUUCCCAACCGCCUCUAUCUUGGCACUAUAUUCAUGGAAGGGCAGAUGAAUCAGGCUGAUCGUGAUUACUUCUAGACAACAUUUGUCAAAAUAAUUUUUGUGAUAAGAACCGGUUGAUUUUGAAGAAUUUAACAAAGCGAUUUCCUUUGGAAGACAAAAAGCAGCCUACAUAAUACAGAGCAUAUAUAGUAACGACUACCGUAAUAGUAAGUAUAUUAUCUCAUUUAAUACUGGAGCCGUAUUACGAGUCCAGUGCAUAUUAUUACUGCUACUACAGAUGAGGAAAUUGAGGUUCAGAGAGAUUAAAUCACUUGUCAGGGUCACACAACUAGAACCUAGAAUCAAAGCUCAAGUCUAGAUUUCCUGCCCUUGUAUCCCACACU
This is a long non-coding RNA of Equus caballus (horse), 1757 nucleotides long. The record is from Ensembl. Lineage: Eukaryota; Metazoa; Chordata; Mammalia; Perissodactyla; Equidae.